UUAAGAGAAUAUUAAGGUAGUGUUGGGAUCUUUAAUAACUUUGACCUAUUUGUGAAACCUUAAAGUAAACAUAUAUUCCUUAUAUCAAGGAUCUUAUAACAUUUAUUAAAAAAAACCUAAUUAUUUAUUCUAAGUAAAAUAGUAGUACAUAAACUCAACAGCUAGUCUCUAUUGAGUGUAUAUGGUUGCAGUAGGGGGAGAAGUCUCAAGAGACUCCGGCACAUCAGAAGGGCUCACCCUUGAGUUCAUAGUCGCAGUAGGUGGAGAGGCCUCAAGAGGCUCCGGGCAUCAGAAGGGCUCACUGUUGACCACCUUGCAGAGAUCCAUUCAUCUCCAGUGGAACGAGAAGACAAAUUUGACAGUCUUUCAUUAGGAAUCUCAGUUUGUCCAUUAUGAAAGAAAUGUACUAAUUGAACAGUCUUCAUCCAGACACUUUCAUCACUUCUGGAUGGCUGUUUACGAUUAAAAUCGAUGAGCAGGCGAAGGAAGAACAGUACAAUGUAGAGGGUGGAAGUGGCGCCACAUAAAAGGUAGAGAGCCCAGAAGUUCCCGAGGCUCAGUUCAUCAUUUUCGGUGGCUGAACACUCGGCAGAACAAGGAAACCACUUUUCUUCUAAUGCUUUUAGAAUCCUCUUCUCAGAUAUGGUUAGGAUGGCUUCAGAAACAUCAGCAGCUAAUGGAGAGCCUUUCUGAAAGGCCUGCAUGGAGAUCAACAAGGAUGACAUGACCAAAGCUAAUUUCAUUGUGACAAUGCUAAAAGAAUUCCAUAUGCUAUCCUACUCCACUGAGCAAUGGUUCAACUAAUUCAAUUCCUACCACCAGUCAAGGGAUGGGACAAUUUUCUUUGGGGGAAAAGGGCAUCAACAAAUCAGUUUGGGCCACUUCAUACAUGUGUUAAGAGAAGUUGCAGAAAAUUUUAGAGAAUGCAAAUGGGGAAGAGUUCCAGUUACUACUCACAAAGACUAAUCCUCCAAAUCUGUUGAGGGGUUGGCCGGCAGUGUAAUUCUUGCAGAACUGGCUGGUGAAAACUUUUGCAUAAGGAAGUUGAAGAAAGGCAGCUGACAUGUUCCCACUCUGGAAUUCGCCAGGAUAUUGGUAUUGGUUGCUAAUAUUCUUGAUAUCAGCUCCUUCGAAUUUAAACACGUUCUCUAAGUAUUCCCUCGUAAAUGCAGCACCAUCACAACCAACCACAGACCUAGUAGCUUUUAGCCAUUCGAUAUCCAUCACAUUGGGUUCAAGUCGUCGGACAGUGAGCAUUGAAGAGAGACUAGCAGUGUAGCUCGAGGUUAAAACGAAGACUACAAACAGCCACACCACUAUCACUACUCGAGUAAUAUUGCUACGAAUUGUCUCCCCUGGAAAAUGAAACAAUGGCUAGCUUUCUGAGUUAUUUAAUUAUUGAGCAACCAAAAUCUCUUCCAUUUUUAAUAUUACUACUUACUAUGAGCAAAGAAAAGAGAAGAGAAGGUGAACCAAAGAGCAGUCCCGAGCUGACUCUUCCAUGGGCCUCUGAAUGCUGGAUUAUUGGAUUGGUACGAUCCAGUACCCAAACUAUGAACAUGGUGUAGAUCAAGAGGGCACCUGUGACUACCCACAUUUCCAUGGUGAAAGGCUUCAGGAACAUCCAUGCCUUGUGAGGUUCUUUAGGCCUUGCUUGUAUUAUCACCAAUCCCGACUCGGCAUAUGGCAGUGUGAAUUCCACUUUUUUUGAACGGGUGGCAAGUAUAGUCACAUCGCCAACCACAGCAUCAAAGGUCUUCCAUGUAUUUGAUAGGCAUAAAAUCUCUCAGAGACAAAUGAUUGAAACAAAUAUGAAGUAUGAUUCAGGAAUUCUGAGCGUUAAUCUUCUGUACUAUGUUCACUGCUGUCUCAUGGGGAUAAAGUCAAAACUUAAUAUACCAGAAAAGUCUACCGGGCAGGAUUUCUUUGGGAGGCAUAAAAAUUGAGAAGUUUCGAGGGUUUGAAAAACCUAAUUAUGGAAAUAUAUAUUUCAUAUAAAAUCUUUCAUAAACUCCGGCGCUCUUGUAGAAAAGCAGGCAAGUGUUAACUAGAGAGGUUCAGUUUGACUUUGAUUAUCAUUUAUCAAGCGAUUGUUUCAAUUGUUUUCCUUUAAACAAACGACAUGUUAAUUUGGUCAGCAAGCAAGACAUGCUUUUUGAGAAAUUAGAAAAGGGGGAAGGUUUACUGAUGAAAUCACAACACAAACACCUGCUGAAGUUACAAAUAAAUCUUGGUCGCUAAUGUGAAGUUGAGAUUUAAUUCUGGUGUGGGGAAUAUCAUGAUUAUUGAGAAAGAUUUAAAGAGCUAAGGCUAGAGAUAGGAGUAAAUACCUUGUUAUAAACACAAUAUUCAACCAGCUCGUCAUAUGUGCCAAAAAAUGGAUGGAACUUGUAGGGUAGAGAGUAAUUUUGCUCCAGAAUUUUUACCACCUCUCGGAAAAUAUCAAUACAGAAACCAGUAUAUUUUUUUUCAGGCUCGAUUUGAGCUUCGCCCACCUCCACAAAAUUUUUAAAAGUGCCGUUAGCUGGAAUUCCAAUCUUCAAUGGUUUUGGAUCAGUGGGCAUUUCCCAUCCCUUGGGGACACGUUUUAGGUACCCUGGCCAAAUCACUGGACCCUCCAAAAUCCUUGUGGUGUUUCUACCGCUAUUUUUGUCUCCACCUUCUCUGCUGAAAGGGUUGUCCAAGUCCUGUGUCCAAAAGUCAAGAUCCUUGUAGCCUUUUCCAACAAAGUUUAUAAUCCUGAAUGGCAACGAAUUUGAAUUUGAAAAAUUAAUUGUUCCACUUAAACCACUAAAGUUGCUUGAUAAUAUAUUUUUUAACAACAUUUUUGGAGUAUCAGUAUCACCAACUAAUCUCUCCAGGGCCCAUGUGAUGACAGCAAUGCCAUCAUAUGCUCGUAGUGCAUGAAUUCCUGGCUGGCCGUUGUCUUCCUUUGGAUAUUCAGAUUUAAAAUUUUUCUGAAACUGGGCAGAGAAUUCUUGGAAGGGCCUAUUGGAUUUGGAAUAGCAGGACUUGAUUCCUAGAGCCCCUUCCAUAUAGGGGAUAACAGAGGUGUCCAUGGAAUCCAGGAAGCUUGAAAUGCUAUCUGUAACUAUCCAGGCUGAGUCUUUCCCCAUAAAAUCCAUCCGCCUUGCUUCUUGGAACAAAUGGAUAGCCAUCGGUAAUGAUGAUUGAAGAACAAUGAAAACCCUGGAUUGUGUGCUCAGAAGCUUCAAGAGCUCUUGAUGGACAGCUCCUCUUGGAUCAGAUAGAGAUGAUAUGGGAGGAAGAGACAAAUGGUACUCGAUCUCCGAUCCAACUCCUUGAAGAGCUUCAGAUAAAAUAGUUAACAACUCAGCGUUGCCACCGUACGCAUCAUCUUCAUAGAUUGUGAUGACACUUCGCCAGUGAUAGGAGUAAACGAUAGCUGAAAUGCACCUUAUUUGUUCAGAAACAUUGGUGCCCAUUUGUACCAGGGUGGGCCUUCCAAGCUGCCUCGACGGCCGGACACUCGCAGAUGCAGCCAAUGAAAGAACUGGUACUUGAGCUUGGUUUCCGAUUUCAGCAGCUAAAGCUGCUUGCUGCCAUGUAUCCAUGCCCACAAUCACUUGCACUUUCUUCUCUUUAAUCAGUUCUUCAGCUGCAAUUAUAUCUCACUUAUUUCAUUCAAAAUUCAAUACAUAAUAAUGUUUUCAAUGCAUGGAAGCAGUAAAAUCCUAUUUCCAUCUCUUUCAUUUGUUUUUCCCUUAAAAGGAAAACAAUGAUAAGUACUGAUUCGUCCCUAGCAGUGGCAGUGGCAAUGGCACCAUUUGAUUCGGGGUUCGAUCCCCGGCAACGGCGCCAUUUGAUUCGUGCCCAAUUGGUGUCUCAGCUGAUUCGUGUCCAGCUGGUGCUCCUUGAUUGAGGGAGUAAUCAACAAAAUUUAUAACCUAUUACACUAUAUACUAGGGUAGCAAAGACAAAGCUACUAUAGUAUAGUGGCUCUAGGAUCGUUCACUGGGAUGGGUUUUCACUUUGCAAAUGAUAUUAAUUCAAAGCUGAAUUGGUGUCUUUUCAUUUCAAGGUUAGCUUUAAAAGAAAACAUAAAGAUGUUUGAAUGAAAAAGGUUUGGUUUUAAACUAAUCAAAAAUAGUAAUUGAUUUUACUUACAAAGAAAAGAUGUUUCUUGGAGUUCAGAUCACUAGGCUCGUUCCUCAUACAAAAUGGGAGUUCCGGUCACUUGUUUCUUUUCCUCGCAUUAGAGAAUUAACAUAUAGUUCCUUCUCCAACCGGUGUUGUACAGAUGCUUCCCAUCAAUGGGUUCAAACACUAAAUCCCUCUCACUGAUGCAACUUGCAAUGGUUCAUGCCUCUCACGAGCACUUACCAUUCAAGAUGAUCUUUAACCUUGGACUUCCCUUCAAAAGCUCGCAAGAGAUAACUAAUGGAUGUCUCCUUGGAGUCCAAAAGCUUACCAAGUGUUGGCUAUUCUAGAAAAUCCUACCUUCAAGUCACCUCCCAAAGGCUCGCAAGGGGUAAACUAGUGCAUCUCCAUGGACGGAGAUCACUUGCCUUACCAAGUGUUGGCCCAGGUGAUUUAAAGGCAUUUUAAGUUAACUAAAAAGAUAAAAACCAUUAACGGGUUACACUUUCUCUUCAUUAAAAACUAAAACAACAAAACUUCCAAAUUAUGCAUGUGGAAACUUACCCGGCUUUCCUCACUCCAAGAGACAAAAGGCUUAGCCUCUCAUCCUCUGAGGAAAAAUCCUCAGAGUUUGGUUGGCUAGAAAAUGAAAAUGAAAUGAAAAAUGAAAGAGAAGGAAAAACAGAGCAAGGCUCUGUAUAUUCUAUAUAUGAUCAAUAUUACGGAUUACAUAUAUGGUCCUCCUCCUUUACAGUGGAUGCAAGGGAAUAUAUAUAGAGGAGUUUUUCCAACCUUCCUAGCUAAGAAAUCUUGUGGUUGGUGGCUUACAAGGAGAAGAAUGGAAAUUUAUACACAAAAAUCUGAAGAAAAAUAUCUAAAAGAGUCGGUGCAAAAAUAUCGGGAAGCUCCAGGAACAUUUCGCAGGUGAAAAAUGGUGUCUGCGAGAUUUCGCAGACACUCAAGAGGGCUGCGAAAUAUUUUCGCAACAACAAGUUAAACUCGCAGGGCUGCGAAAUUGGCUUCCACCUUGAGGUUCUCAGAGUUCCAGCUUGCGGCAUGUAUCGGGUAGCUUCAGGAGGAAUUCCAUAGCACUGUACAAAAAGGCUGCGAAAUUCUCGCAACAAAAGGCUGAUUUCGCAACACUUUGGAGUGAUCUGCUUGCAAUGGCUGUAACUCCUUCGUUUCAACUCCGAAUCGCGUACCGUUUGAAGCAUUGGAUUCUUGACUUCCUGAUCUUUGAAAUGGUAUAUAGAAUGUAGAAAAUGGACUUCGGGAAGUGCUCCAAAAGUGCGCAUGAAGACUGCAGCUGCUUGUCCUCUGUUUUCUUCACUCUGUUUUUCCUUUCUCCUUGCUUCUCUCCUUGCAUACUUUGAACGACUUUGGCAAAGGGAUAUGGAGCUCCAAAGCUUGGUUUCUUCAUGAAUUUGAGCUUCCAAAAGCUUUGCCAUGAAUUCCAAAUAGCUCAUCCAUCAUUUGGCAUGCUUGAAUUGAUUCAUAAGCUGAUAAAAACAUGUAAACUUGCCACAAAAUAGUUAAAACCAAUUACUAAGGACCUUAAUGAAUUAAUUGGGUUAAAUGAAUAUGAUUACUACUCAAAGGUGCUUAAAACCAUUAUAAUUAGGUCUACAAAAUAGCACUUUUUGGUAGUAAUCAAGUACUACUUAAAACAAGUUUUUCAAGUUAUUUAAAAAUAAAUAAAGGAAAAUUUAAGAGUGAAAAAAAGAAAAAAAAAUGAAAAGCAUUGCAAUUUAAUAUAUAGGUGCAGUCGCAACAACUUUAGAAGAGAAGACCAACAGACCAACCUAUUAAAGCCGCCCGGUUGAGUUCGCCGGUGAAGUCCCGGGAGAUAAUAGAGUGCUUAUGAUUCUUGGAAUUAUUAUUGAACUUGUCCACGGCUAUCUUCAUGGCCGUCAUUUCCUCUUUACCUUUACGAGAAUUAGAGUCAAUGAUUGCCCCAAUGAUGGUGGAGGUGAUAUCUGCCGCUGUGGCUGUGAUGUAUCCAUGAUGGGAGACAAUUAAAAGGAUGGAGAUAAGUGAAAAACAGAAGAAACAUGGUGUUUGGGUAUUUAGUGGGAAGGGCAUUUCGGCUCUUAGCAAGUAAUAAGCAAGUGCCUUGGAAGGAGAUUGUUCCUAGCUUAUAUAACUGUGAAUCCAGCGGGCUUAAGCACAAGUAGUAGAAUCUUUCAUAGUGAAUUCCCAUGAAGUUUCCUGCUUGCUUCCUAAGUCAAUGCUUGCUGUGCUAAAAUCAAUGAAGGAUGGACACAAUGAAACUCCCUCCCCAUUACUUAAUUUCAUACGUUCUUUUCAACCGUAAGUACAUGUCUCUGUGAAAUAAUUCUCUCCAUGGUACUGUUCCUGUUUUGUGAAGUUGUAGGUCUUGGAAGUUGGAAGUCAUUGUCAACCACCUGUUGUUAGUUUAACAAAUAAAGAAUAUAAUAUGUAUAUUAAAUCCAAAUCUUAUGAGUUUUAAUUAGUUCAUUAGUUUGGUGUAGAGGGAGUCAUUCAAACCACCUCUUGGCAAUUUACAUAUUCAUUUCCCUAUUUAUCUAUGUGUAAGUUCAAAAAGGGUUAUUUGCAUUUGCAGGAGUAUCUCUUCACGUAUGAGUGUGGGGCUGCAAAUGAGAGAAGAUGUUAAAAAAAAUGAAUUUUAUAAGUUUAAGCUUUUAGGAAGAUUAGCAAUUCAAUAAACAGAGUUUUGAAAUUUAUUACAUUUUAAUGGGAUAAAAUUCAAUAAAAUUAAGAGUGUGUUUGACAGUGAUUUUAGGAAGUACUUUUAUCAUUUCUAAUACUUGAAAAUUUUUAUUUUUUAAGUAUUAAAAAGAUUAUAUACACUUCCUAAAAUCACUACCAUAUGAGAAAAUACUUCCAAUAUUUGUAACACUUCAAAAUUUUUAUCAUUCAAGUAUUAGAAUGAUUAAAAUUGUUUUUUAAAAUCACUACCAAACGUAUUUUUAGUUUAUAAACAUAUCCAAGAAACUAAGAUGAAAUAGUUCAAGGAUACAAAAUAGAAAAUUAUGAUAUUUUUAUCUUAAAAAUUCAGUCAAUUACAUAACAGUAGAAAAUAAACUCGUAACAAAUCUUAUAUAAAUGGGAGUGGUCUAUAUUAACUCAUAUAUUUGAUAUAAAACAAAUAAGAGGUGUAUUAUAGCCCUCUUAUAGAGGAAUUUUUUCAAGAAAAAAUCCAUUUCUAUUUUUUUACUAUUUCUUUUAUGUUUAUGGUCUUUUUAAUUAUGGGUUAAUUUUUCCAAGUUCGUUAUGCUUCACCACUCCGAAGUUUCUACAUGAAUACGACAUAGAAAAAAUUCUACAUAGCAUGGAUAUAAAAGUGUUUGUGUCAAAGUCAUAUAAGGUUAAAAAAUAGAUUAAAAAUUUGAGUUAAAACAUGUUGAUAUGUUGCACAUCAUACAUUUUAGAUAUAAAAAUAAAUUAAUUUAUAUAACUUGCGCUCCAAGCCUGAGUUAAAGUUUGAUAUAUAAUAAGACUUGUACAUCCACAUAUUUUAGAUAUAAAAAAUGAAUUGAUUCAUAUAACUUGCACUCCAUGCCCAAGUUAUAAUUUGAUAUACAACGAGAUUUAAAUAUCACUUCUAUUGAGUCACACCCGCUUAACUCGUAUAAAUUGAGAUAACACUGAUACAUGCAAAUCAUAUAUGUAAGAGUUCACAAAACCAAUAAUAACAACAAAUUAGUUUAUUUUCAAAUAUUUUUCAAAAUCAUUUUUAUUUGUAGUAUUUUAGUUUCAAUUAUUUUUCAUAUUUAUAUAACUAUUUUUUAAAAUAAUUUUAGAAAACAAAUACAAAUAAUUAAAAUAUAUUCUUAAAUAAUAUUCUGAUUUUAGAAUAAAUUCUUAAUGAACUAUCAAUCAUAUUUUGGAAUCUAAAAAAUAAGUGCCAUGCAUCACAGUACUACUUAAAAAAUCUGUGGUUCACGUCAUAUGAUUGUUUGUCAUGAUUACCAUUUAUAUAAUCCAACAAGAAGUCCAUUGAAAGGGAAGGAAUCUUAUAGUAUCCUUAUAAAAUAUUUGAGCUCCAAAAUGGGGAAACAAUCCAGUGCUUAUGCCUCACAUGCUAGUCGGCCGUGGUGAUUGGUCAUCGAUUAUUUUUUAACUAAACAAUUACACUAAAUAUUGAUAUGAAUUUAAAACAUUAGAUUAAAAAAUUACACUGAAUGAUAUGAAUUUAAAACUUUUGUUUAUCAUACAUUUUAUUGUGAUAUUAUAUUUAUCCUUAUUUAUUUAAAUAAUUACAAAAAUACCAUAUAUCAUAUACAUUCUAGGAUGGACCGUAAAUAAUGGUGAAAUAUAUGACAAAUUACAAGUUGUUAACACAUCAAAAAUUAUCCUCUUCAACAUGCAACUCUUCAUACUGUAACACGUGCAUGGCUUUGGAAGUGCUUCUCAACUUAACACAUCGAAUUACUCUUUAUUUAAGAAACUUUUUUUUUUUUUUCUACUUUUCUCUCUUGUAGAAUUUCUCUGAAUACAGUUGGUGAUUCUUUGUUCUACCUAGGUUCUCUCCAAAACUUUUCUUUUAACUUUUUUUUCUUUUCAUUUUAUUUCUGCAUUUCAUUUGGAUUUUAUUCUCAGAAUAAAAUAGAUAAAAAGUAGAUAUAAUAAACAAUUAAAGAGUAAUAACAAGAAGAUUUAAUCCUAAAAUUAAUAUUAUUUUACCCUUUAUAAGAAAUAAGAAGGGAAUAGCAGACACUCAUGUUUAAUUUAGAAAAACCGGAGCUUAUCUCUGAUGGUGAGAUGCUCCCCAUCAGAGAAGCCGCGAUUGGACAGCUCUGGAUCUAUGAGUCCCCACCAUCUUAAAAACCCCACCAACAAAAACAAUCAUGAAGAUUCACUCUUUCCCUCAACACUUCAAGCACUUGUUGCAGUGAAUAGAGACAAUAUUUUCCACUCUAUCUCUAAUCCUUGGACUUCUCCCUAACUUAGCCAUUACCAUUAGUACUAAACUUAAAACCUAUUUUAAAAUCUGAAUUCCAAACAUAGUAUAAAAUGAAGUCUCCCUGUAUAUGCCGAUGAAAAAGAGGGAAAGAAAAGAUAGAGGAAAGAGGUGUGUUUGGUUUGGUUUUGUUUUGGAGUGAGGCUUUAAGAGUUGUGAAAAUGGUUGACGGUGUGAUUGAGACGUGGGAAAUGGAAAACUCUAGCAAAAAGGAUCAAAACUAGGAAUGGAAUGGUAGUUAUGGAAUAAAAUAAUCAGUUUAUGAAAAUGGAAUAAUUAUCCAUUUUACAUUAUGUGGAUAGUCGAUAUACACUAUAUAAUCAAAUAUACAAGUAUAGAAAGUACCUCCUAUUCAUGAAGUUGUAAUAAAUUUAUGAGGAAAGCGGUUAUUGUUGAGAAAUCUAAAACUGAAAAGGAAAUUAAAAUUCUUAUAUGAAUUUGUAAUAGAUAUAUGAGGUAAAGGGUUGUUGUUGGGAAUUCUAAAAUUGGAAAGAAAUUUUAGAAUUCUUAUAGAAAUGGAAUCAUAGUUUAAAUAGAAAAACCGUCUAAAAAUAUUAUAUAAUAUUUUUAAUUAUUUAAUCAAACUUAUGAAAAAAUAAUUUAUUAAAAAAACUUAAUUACUUAAUUAAUUAAUUAAUUAAAUUUUUUCUUUUAAAACUUGAUUUUUUUUUAUGAUAGUUAAAUCAAAGAAACAUUCUAGACUGCACAUAUAAAGAAAUAGCUUAACUUGGGGUUUUAUUUUUUAAACUGUUAAUUAAAUAAUAAUAAUAAUAAUAAUAAAUGUAGUUUAUCAUAAUAUUUUUAUUUUUUAUUAUUUAAUAAUAGAUAAGUAAAGAAAACUUACCUUAAUGUUGAAUAGAUAAAGGAGAUAAAUAGGUAACCUAUAUAAAUAAAUUAGUUAAAUGAAAAUAAUUUCUUUAACCAAUCAACUAUUGACCUAAGUAGAAUAAGUUUUUCUUUGAUAGUCAUUCUUCAUUCCAACUUGGAAUUGUUAUUAAUCUUCAAAUUCAAUACUUGUUAUUUGAAUUGAAAUUUUAUUUUAUUUUUUAAAUUAAGACUUAUGUGGUGUUUGUUUUUUUACUUAAUUCUAAAUAGAACUUUAAUGCUUAAUAGUGUUAAAUAUUAGGUUGUUUGUUUUUAUAGUAUUUUAUUUCUCGUAAGUAUUAAAAAAUAUAAAAAAAAACAAUAUGUUAUUUUUUCUAUUUAGAAAAAGUUACAUAUUUUGGUUUUUUUCUAUUUAGUAAAAAAUUUAUAAUAAGUCAUGAAAAUUUUCAAACACCAUUAGUUAUUUUCUAAUUACAGUAGGUAUCACAAAAGUGGGGUGUUUUUUUCUUUGGUAUUUAUAAAUGCUCACACUUCUAUACCUAGCUUUAAUACUUUUUUUUAUAGAAGAUUACGAAAGUAUAAUUUCUGUUUAUUUUGGUUUGAUAAAGAGUUAGCAAUUUAUUAUUAUUUUAAUUUUCUAAAAGUUUAAAAAAUAUAAUGGCUUUGACCUACAUACGAAACCUUAACGAUAGGAUAUUCCUUAUGCAAAUGAUCUUACAACAUUUAUUUAAAAAAAAAAAAAAAACUAAUUAUGCAUUCAAUCUGAGUAAACUAGUAGAACAUAAGCUCAACAGCUUGUUUCUAUCAAGUCUACAUGGUUGCAGUUGGGGGAGGGGUCUCAGGAGGCUCAUGCUCAUCAGAAGGGCUCACCCUUGAGUUCAUAGUUGCAGUUGGUGGAGAGGCCUCAGGGGACUCCGGGGCCUCAGGAGGCUCUGGGGCUUCAGAAGGACUCACUGUUGACCACCUUGGGGUGCUCCAUUCAUCUCCAGUGAGACGGGGAGACAAAUUUGACG
Molecule: long non-coding RNA, 10884 nt
Filed under: Vitis vinifera (wine grape)
Lineage: Eukaryota; Viridiplantae; Streptophyta; Magnoliopsida; Vitales; Vitaceae
Description: long non-coding RNA (VVIN_LNC003109)
Source: RNAcentral